UACGUAGGGGGCAAGCGUUGUCCGGAAUUAUUGGGCGUAAAGAGCGUGUAGGCGGUCCGGUAAGUCCGCUGUGAAAUCUCGAGGCUCAACUUCGAGCUGUCGGUGGAAACUGUCUGGCUAGAGUCCGGAAGAGGAGAAUGGAAUUCCUGGUGUAGCGGUGAAAUGCGCAGAUAUCAGGAAGAACACCCGUGGCGAAGGCGGUUCUCUGGGACGGUACUGACGCUGAGACGCGAAAGCGUGGGGAGCGAACAGG
Molecule: ribosomal RNA, 253 nt
Filed under: uncultured bacterium
Lineage: Bacteria
Description: partial 16S ribosomal RNA
Rfam family: Bacterial small subunit ribosomal RNA
Source: RNAcentral